GAGUUUGAUCCGGGCUCAGAUUGAACGCUGGCGGCAGGCUUAACACAUGCAAGUCGAACGGUAGCAGGAGAAAGCUUGCUUUCUUGCUGACGAGUGGCGGACGGGUGAGUAAUGCUUGGGAAUCUGGCUUAUGGAGGGGGAUAACUACGGGAAACUGUAGCUAAUACCGCGUAGUGUCGAGAGACGAAAGUGCGGGACCGUAAGGCCGCAUGCCAUGAGAUGAGCCCAAGUGGGAUUAGGUAGUUGGUGGGGUAAAGGCCUACCAAGCCUGCGAUCUCUAGCUGGUCUGAGAGGAUGGCCAGCCACACUGGAACUGAGACACGGUCCAGACUCCUACGGGAGGCAGCAGUGGGGAAUAUUGCGCAAUGGGGGGAACCCUGACGCAGCCAUGCCGCGUGAAUGAAGAAGGCCUUCGGGUUGUAAAGUUCUUUCGGUAUUGAGGAAGGGAUGUGUGCUAAUAGUACAUAUCAUUGACGUUAAAUACAGAAGAAGCACCGGCUAACUCCGUGCCAGCAGCCGCGGUAAUACGGAGGGUGCGAGCGUUAAUCGGAAUAACUGGGCGUAAAGGGCACGCAGGCGGUUAUUUAAGUGAGGUGUGAAAGCCCCGGGCUUAACCUGGGAAUUGCAUUUCAGACUGGGUAACUAGAGUACUUUAGGGAGGGGUAGAAUUCCACGUGUAGCGGUGAAAUGCGUAGAGAUGUGGAGGAAUACCGAAGGCGAAGGCAGCCCCUUGGGAAUGUACUGACGCUCAUGUGCGAAAGCGUGGGGAGCAAACAGGAUUAGAUACCCUGGUAGUCCACGCUGUAAACGCUGUCGAUUUGGGGAUUGAGCUUUAAGCUUGGUGCCCGUAGCUAACGUGAUAAAUCGACCGCCUGGGGAGUACGGCCGCAAGGUUAAAAACUCAAAAUGAAUUGACGGGGGCCCGCACAAGCGGUGGAGCAUGUGGUUUAAUUCGAUGCAACGCGAAGAACCUUACCUACUCUUGACAUCCAUGGAAUCCUGUAGAGAUACGGGAGUGCCUUCGGGAACCAUGAGACAGGUGCUGCAUGGCUGUCGUCAGCUCGUGUUGUGAAAUGUUGGGUUAAGUCCCGCAACGAGCGCAACCCUUAUCCUUUGUUGCCAGCGAUUUGGUCGGGAACUCGAAGGAGACUGCCAGUGAUAAACUGAGGAAAGUGGGGGAGAAGGUAAAUUCUUCAGGGCCCUUAGGAGUAGGGUUACACACGGGUUAAAAGGGGGUAUACGAAGGGUGGGAAAAUUGGAGAAGGAAGGAAUUUUCAGAAAGUAGGUCUAGUUCGGGAUUGAGUUCUGAAACUGGAUUCCAGAAGUUGGGAUCGGCUGUUAUUGGGGAUUCAAAAUGUGGCGGUGAUACGUUCCCGGGCCCUUCACGACCGCCC
This 1394-nucleotide ribosomal RNA is filed under the name uncultured bacterium. RNAcentral describes it as "bacterial SSU rRNA". It matches the Rfam family "Bacterial small subunit ribosomal RNA". The record is from RNAcentral.